AUGACGGGAAAACGCCCCCUCACCCUUGGAGGGUCAGAGCCCUUUCGCGCCCGCGCCUCGGCGCUCCAACUUGGAAGCAGCACAGGCAGCCCUGGCCUCACAGGAGCCCAGCUCAGACCCUGGAGAAACCCACCACCCCAAGGCCUCAGGGAUGAAGACAUCCUACUACUGACCAGCGCCACUCCAGCCAAGCACUCCUGUUAUUCCAGAAGAAGACAUUUGCCAUGAAUUUGACUCAUCUGGAUCUUCCAUCGCUGCUUCUCUUAGGGUCUAACCACUUGUCUCUUGCUAGCAACUCAUUCUCCUAACUCCCAGUUUAAAUUCUGGAGAGAGAAUUUGUUUGGCUUGGUUAAUUGCUAUUGUUCAAGGUACUGUGGUUAUAUAAAGAUUACUCUGAAAGUUAGCAACUUAAAAAAUAUUCCUGGGCAUAUGACUUACAAUUUGGGCAGGACUUGACAGGCAUAGCCCAUCUCUGCUUUACAUGGUAUCACCUGGGCUGCCUGAAGGCUGGGGGCCAGAAUCAUCUGAAGGCUCACUUUGUCAUGUUGCAGUUGAUGUCAGCUGUAGGCUGAGACCCUUGGGCUCUCGGCUGGAAAACCUACAUGGUUAGAUUAGCCAUGUCUGUUAUUUGCUAUGCUCUGAUGUUUGGACACCUUGAGGCUUUGCUGACUCUGGAGCGACUGCCCACCCCUCUGCUAGAGAAAGCAAAAACUGCCUUAUAAACACGUCUUUCAUAUGCCAGCCAAUCAAUCCAGAGCCCAUUUCCCCAGCUGCAUCCUUCAUGGAGCUAUUAUACUCCAGGCCCCUAUCUCCCUAAUCACCUCAGGACCAGGUCUCAGACAAUUAGAGAGAGUCCCUCCACCCCAGAGCCCACUGCGAUUAUUCUAACUAGCCCAUCCUAAACCUGCUAAUCCUGCUCACCUGUUCCUUUCCAUGGAAACUACAGUAAAGCCUCUUGCCAGUUUUCCUCUCUCUCUGCCUCCCGACUGACCCUGGUGCUUCCCUGUGUGCCCCGACCCCAUCUCCCAGAGGCAUGGUGCUCCUCUUGGCCCUUGCUCUUGGAAACUCUGUGCAUAACAAACUGUCCUUUCAGUGGCAAUCACCUUUUGUUCUUCUGUCAUGAAUAAUAAAACACACAUUUUAAAAUGAUGGUCUCUCCA
Molecule: long non-coding RNA, 1160 nt
Filed under: Sus scrofa (pig)
Lineage: Eukaryota; Metazoa; Chordata; Mammalia; Artiodactyla; Suidae
Description: lncRNA (ENSSSCG00040045120.1)
Source: RNAcentral